AACGAACGCUGGCGGCAUGCCUAACACAUGCAAGUCGAACGAACCCUUCGGGGUUAGUGGCGCACGGGUGCGUAACGCGUGGGAACCUGCCUUUAGGUUCGGAAUAACUCAGAGAAAUUUGAGCUAAUACCGGAUAAUGUCUUCGGACCAAAGAUUUAUCGCCUUUAGAUGGGCCCGCGUUAGAUUAGAUAGUUGGUGGGGUAAUGGCCUACCAAUCGACGAUCUAUAGCUGGUCUGAGAGGAUGAUCAGCCACACUGGGACUGAGACACGGCCCAGACUCCUACGGGAGGCAGCAGUGGGGAAUAUUGGACAAUGGGCGAAAGCCUGAUCCAGCAAUGCCGCGUGAGUGAUGAAGGCCUUAGGGUUGUAAAGCUCUUUUACCAGGGAUGAUAAUGACAGUACCUGGAGAAUAAAGCUCCGGCUAACUCCGUGCCAGCAGCCGCGGUAAUACGGAGGGAGCUAGCGUUGUUCGGAAUUACUGGGCGUAAAGCGCGCGU
RNAcentral lists this ribosomal RNA (498 nucleotides) under uncultured bacterium. RNAcentral describes it as "bacterial SSU rRNA". It matches the Rfam family "Bacterial small subunit ribosomal RNA", at positions 28 to 572 of the family's 1533-position model. The record is from RNAcentral.